GAUGAACGCUGGCGGCGUGCCUAAUACAUGCAAGUCGAGCGAACAGACGAGGAGCUUGCUCCUUCGACGUUAGCGGCGGACGGGUGAGUAACACGUAGGUAACCUACCUAUAAGACUGGGAUAACUUCGGGAAACCGGAGCUAAUACCGGAUAAUAUUUCGAACCGCAUGGUUCGAUAGUGAAAGAUGGUUUUGCUAUCACUUAUAGAUGGAUCCGCGCCGUAUUAGCUAGUUGGUAAGGUAACGGCUUACCAAGGCAACGAUACGUAGCCGACCUGAGAGGGUGAUCGGCCACACUGGAACUGAGACACGGUCCAGACUCCUACGGGAGGCAGCAGUAGGGAAUCUUCCGCAAUGGGCGAAAGCCUGACGGAGCAACGCCGCGUGAGUGAUGAAGGUCUUCGGAUCGUAAAACUCUGUUAUUAGGGAAGAACAAACGUGUAAGUAACUGUGCACAUCUUGACGGUACCUAAUCAGAAAGCCACGGCUAACUACGUG
Molecule: ribosomal RNA, 497 nt
Filed under: uncultured bacterium
Lineage: Bacteria
Description: partial 16S ribosomal RNA
Rfam family: Bacterial small subunit ribosomal RNA
Source: RNAcentral